UCAGAACGUCGUGAGACAGUUCGGUCCCUAUCCGUCGCAGGCGUAGGAAAUUUGAGAAGACCUGUCCUUAGUACGAGAGGACCGGGAUGGACGUACCUCUGGUGUACCAGUUGUCCUGCCAAGGGCAUGGCUGGGUAGCUAUGUACGGAAUGGAUAAGCGCUGAAAGCAUCUAAGCGCGAAGCCAACUUCAAGAUAAGAUUUCCCACCGCAAGGGUAAGACCCCAGAAAGACUAUCUGGUUGAUAGGUCGAAGGUGUAAGUGCAGCAAUGUAUUUAGCUUAUCGAUACUAAUAGGUCGAGGACUUGACCAA
This 311-nucleotide ribosomal RNA is filed under the name Clostridioides difficile. RNAcentral's name for it is "partial 23S ribosomal RNA". It matches the Rfam family "Bacterial large subunit ribosomal RNA", at positions 2611 to 2925 of the family's 2925-position model. Lineage: Bacteria; Bacillati; Bacillota; Clostridia; Peptostreptococcales; Peptostreptococcaceae. The record is from RNAcentral.